UUCUGUCAAUCAGCCGAGAGAGGGAAAGGUGGGGGUGGGAACUGAUGCUCUGGAGAAUGAAUUUGGGCUGGACUUCGGAGGUGGAGCUGGGGGUAGGGUCAAGGGGCGGGAGCUCUCAAGAACGGGCCAAUGUGGAAGGAGAUAGGGGGAAUGGCUCCGCCUUGUUACCGCCUCCCCUCCCUCUCUAGAGUCAGGCUUCCUGGUGAGCAGUGUCUUUCACCGUUAUUAGCCUUGUUGGUGAAAGGUGCGAUGUCGGAGUAGACAACUGUCAACAAUUGUGCUUUUCUCCUGAGGGAUAACUGGAGGGAAAUGGAAUCACCACCCUAGAGGGACAACUUAUCUUAUCUUGGCAAAGAAGAAGGGAAAAGAAAUGCAAGAGGGACAAGUUGAGGAAAUUGAAGUCAGGAGGAUUAGGCUAUUUCCUCAAGAUCAUAUAUGUAAGUAAGUAACAGAGCCAAGUUUUGAACCCCAAAUCUCUGAACAUUGAAGGAACAUUCUUUCGACUGCUUUAGUCACAAAUAAAGAAAUAUGUUUAGAAGAAUUGCCCUUGUUUAACCUAUAUCAGAUUGCUUGCUGUUUUGGGGAAGAGGGAAGGGAGAAGAGGAAGAAAAAUUUGGAACACAAGGUUUGCAAGUAUGAAUGUUGAAAACUAUUUUUGCAUAUAUUUGGAAAAAUUAAAUACUAUUAAAAGAAAAAGAUCAUAUCCUCUAGCUUCCAUAUAGAACAAUGGAAACAUUAAUAUUUCACAUUAAUUUGUUUGCUCCUUUUAUUCUGUGGUUAGCUUCUUUGUUCAAGUAAUAUUUAUUUAGUAUCUGCUAGGUUUUCUUGGUAAUGUAAUCAAAAGACUAUAACUGAAUGUCCACAUGAGAAACAGAGUUUUUAAAAAUAAAAAAUUUUUAAAACAAGAGAGAGAAACAUCAUAAAAAGUAGCUCAGCCAUUUAAGAUCUUUGUUUUAAAAAAAAUUCAAAAAAGUCUAUCAAGCAGAACUGUACUUUGGUAUAGACAAAGUAGACUAAGGAAUAAUAUGAGGGGAAAGAGUGGUGAAAGGUAUUUUGGGGUGUAAUCAGAAAUAUUCUCUGCUGGACAGGACUUUUCACAUAGUGUAGAUCUUGGACUGUGGCCUCUUUCAGUGGUUACCAGGUUUGACAUGUGGGGAAGAAGGAUUCCUUUGAUUACUUCCAUUACACAUGCACUAUCAGUGCCAGAAAUUGCUGCUUCCUAUUAUUAUAUGUUGACAUAUUUUGUGAUGAUAAAGUAGAAAGGAGCCUGGGUUUGGGUCAGAGAAAUUUUAUUUGAAUUCUGAUUUUGCCCCUUACUUUUGUCUAGUUACUUCAACCUUCAGAUUUCACUUUUCUCAUCUAUAAAAUGAAGGGGUUAAGCCCAAAUCCAUCUCUAAAUCUAUGGUUCCUUGACUAAAAUUGAUUACAUAUGUUAAGAUAAAGUCAUAGAAGUAACAAAGCAUAAUAAGAUCACAGAUUACCAAGUGGAAGAAACCUUGGAUACCAUCUAACCGAACCCUUUUUACAGAUGAGGAAAUCAAGGCAUAAAGGGGAUGGAUUUGCCCACAGUCACACAGAUAUUAAAUAGCAGAGUCAGAUAUUCAAACUUUCCCAAUCCUUUCCAUUACAUAACCUAUAAUUCUAUCCAUAAUUUUCUAACCUUGCUUGGCUCGGAGUACAUCAGAAUUUUUUCAAUUCUCUAUUUUCCAUUGACAAAAUGGCUUUUUUAUGAGUUCAAGAUGUUUUUAGAGCAGCAACCUGGAAAGCACAGUUCUUAACCUUCUGAUUUGGACAAUGAAUUACUCUCUUUCUGGAUGGCAGAACUGGUUUUUCCACAGACUGUGCCCCUGUACAAUGAAUCUCUUCCAAUUUCAAUUCUCACAAUAUAGCUCAAAACUAGACUGGUUUUCAUUCAUCUGACUCUUCCCAUCGAUAAAUCUGUA
Long non-coding RNA from Antechinus flavipes (yellow-footed antechinus), 1943 nucleotides. RefSeq lists it as uncharacterized. The record is from RefSeq and is a predicted model, not a curated record. The transcript has 3 exons. NCBI's taxonomy places the organism in Eukaryota, Metazoa, Chordata, Mammalia, Dasyuromorphia, Dasyuridae.